This 1431-nucleotide ribosomal RNA is filed under the name metagenome. RNAcentral's name for it is "bacterial LSU rRNA". It matches the Rfam family "Bacterial large subunit ribosomal RNA", at positions 1501 to 2925 of the family's 2925-position model. The record is from RNAcentral.
GAUAUCCCGGUUUAGUUGGAAGUAGGCGUGCAUUAGGCAAAUCCGGUGCACAUAUACCGAGGCCAACGAUCGAGCCAGCUUGCUGGUGAAGUGACUGAACGAGGUUCCAGGAAAAGCCACUAAGCUUCAGCUAUACACGACCGUACCGCAAACCGACACUGGUGCGCGAGAUGAGUAUUCUAAGGCGCUUGAGAGAACUCAGGAGAAGGAACUCGGCAAAUUGUCACCGUAACUUCGGAAGAAGGUGUGCCCUAUUAGUGUGAAGUGAACAACGGAGCAUGAAUGGGUUGCAAAAAAUCGGUGGCUGCGACUGUUUAUUAAGAACACAGCACUCUGCAAACACGAAAGUGGACGUAUAGGGUGUGACGCCUGCCCGGUGCUGGAAGAUUAAAUGAUGGGGUGCAAGCUCUUGAUUGAAGUCCCAGUAAACGGCGGCCGUAACCAUAACGGUCCUAAGGUAGCGAAAUUCCUUGUCGGGUAAGUUCCGACCUGCACGAAUGGCGUAACGAUGGCCACACUGUCUCCUCCUGAGACUCAGCGAAGUUGAAAUGUUUGUGAUGAUGCAAUCUCCCCGCGGAAAGACGGAAAGACCCCAUGAACCUUUACUGUAGCUUUGUAUUGGACUUUGAACAGAUCUGUGUAGGAUAGGUGGGAGGCUUUGAAGCAGGGUCGCUAGAUCUUGUGGAGCCAACGUUGAAAUACCACCCUGGUGUGUUUGAGGUUCUAACCUAGGUCCAUUAUCUGGAUCGGGGACAGUGCAUGGUAGGCAGUUUGACUGGGGCGGUCUCCUCCCAAAGCGUAACGGAGGAGUUCGAAGGUACGCUAGUUACGGUCGGACAUCGUGACGAUAGUGCAAUGGCAUAAGCGUGCUUAACUGCGAGACUGACAAGUCGAGCAGAUGCGAAAGCAGGACAUAGUGAUCCGGUGGUUCUGUAUGGAAGGGCCAUCGCUCAACGGAUAAAAGGUACUCUGGGGAUAACAGGCUGAUACCGCCCAAGAGUUCAUAUCGACGGCGGUGUUUGGCACCUCGAUGUCGGCUCAUCUCAUCCUGGGGCUGUAGCCGGUCCCAAGGGUAUGGCUGUUCGCCAUUUAAAGAGGUACGUGAGCUGGGUUUAAAACGUCGUGAGACAGUUUGGUCCCUAUCUUCCGUGGGCGCUGCAGAUUUGAGGAAGCCUGCUCCUAGUACGAGAGGACCGGAGUGGACACACCUCUGGUGUAUCGGUUGUCACGCCAGUGGCAUUGCCGAGUAGCUAAGUGUGGAAGAGAUAACCGCUGAAAGCAUCUAAGCGGGAAACUCGUUUCAAGAUGAGAUCUGCCGGGGCCUUGAGCCCCCUAAAGAGUCGUUCAAGACCAGGACGUUGAUAGGUCAGGUGUGGAAGCGCAGUAAUGCGUUAAGCUAACUGAUACUAAUUGCUCGUGCGGCUUGACCCC